CCCUUAGACGUUCUGGGCCGCACGCGCGCUACACUGACGAAGGCAACGAGCUUUCCUUUACCGAAAGGUACGGGUAAUCUUUUGAAACUUCGUCGUGCUGGGGAUAGAUCCUUGCAAUUUUUGAUCUUAAACGAGGAAUUCCUAGUAAGCGCAAGUCAUCAGCUUGCGUCGAUUACGUCCCUGCCCUUUGUACACACCGCCCGUCGCUCCUACCGAUUGGGUGUGCUGGUGAAAUGUUCGGAUCGGCCGUUUGUCGCGGUUUCCGCGUCAUGUGGCUGAGAAGUUCAUUAAACCCUCCCACCUAGAGGAAGGAGAAGUCGUAACA
RNAcentral lists this ribosomal RNA (325 nucleotides) under uncultured eukaryote. RNAcentral's name for it is "partial 18S ribosomal RNA". It matches the Rfam family "Eukaryotic small subunit ribosomal RNA", at positions 1470 to 1796 of the family's 1831-position model. The record is from RNAcentral.